RNAcentral lists this long non-coding RNA (370 nucleotides) under Mytilus galloprovincialis (Mediterranean mussel). Lineage: Eukaryota; Metazoa; Mollusca; Bivalvia; Mytilida; Mytilidae. The record is from RNAcentral.
AAAAAAACAUUUUCCUGUCCCCAACAACCUAUGACUUAUGAUACAUUUGCUGGGAUUCUCCAGUCAUUCAAUAUUUUACAAAAUUCUUCCAACAACAUUUUACAUACUUUAAACUACGGUCUGAAUGCCCGCGAUUUCGCGGGUGUGUUCUACUUUUUUUAAAAGAACAUACAACAAGACAUGCACAUGAACAAGUGGGGAAAACAUGCAACAAAAGCGCGAUUAAAUGACACCUUACAAGUUUUAUAUUAAAAAAAAAGCGGUGCACAGCCUCCAACUACAAGUCAAAAAAUUUGUUUUUAUUUCUGGGAUUCCUUUCACGGAAAUGUAAUAAAUACACAUUUCUGAAAAUGCCAAAGCUUGUACACCC